Molecule: ribosomal RNA, 194 nt
Filed under: uncultured bacterium
Lineage: Bacteria
Description: partial 16S ribosomal RNA
Rfam family: Bacterial small subunit ribosomal RNA
Source: RNAcentral
GAAAUUCGCCUUCCAUGAAGCCGGAAUUGCUAGUAAUGGCAGGUCAGCAUACUGCCGUGAAUACGUUCCCGGGCCUUGUACACACCGCCCGUCACACCAUGAGAGUUGGAGAUACCCGAAGCCUGUGAGCUAAACAAACGAGGCAGCAGUCGAAGGUAGAAUCAAUGAUUGGGGUGAAGUCGUAACAAGGUACC